GGCAACGGCCAUACCACGUUGAAAGCACCGGUUCUCGUUCAAUCACCGAAGUUAAGCAACGUUGGGCACGGUCAGUACUUGGAUGGGUGACCGCUUGGGAACACCGCGUGCCGUUGGCA
This 119-nucleotide ribosomal RNA is filed under the name Neodiprion pinetum (white pine sawfly). The record is from RNAcentral. Lineage: Eukaryota; Metazoa; Arthropoda; Insecta; Hymenoptera; Diprionidae.